Long non-coding RNA from Canis lupus familiaris (dog), 407 nucleotides. RefSeq lists it as uncharacterized. Lineage: Eukaryota; Metazoa; Chordata; Mammalia; Carnivora; Canidae. The transcript is spliced from 4 exons. The record is from RefSeq and is a predicted model, not a curated record.
AUCCCGGAUCUCCAGGAUGACGCCCUGGGCUGAAGGCAGACGCUUAACCACUGAGCCACCCAGGAGCUGAACUUGGACCUGAACAUCAGGCAGAGUCGGACACCUGACCAUGGAAAACCAAUCAGCUUGGGCAGCCCCGGUGGCCUAGCAGUUUAGCACUGCCUUCAGCCCAGGCUUUCUUUUUCUUGGCGCAGACUCCCUGAUUAGUGUGGAACCUAUGUGUGGCUCGAUCCCAGGACCCGAGGCGAUGACCUGAGGGGAAACCAAGAGUGGUCACUCAACCGACUGAGCCACCCAGGCUCCCUUCUAUUAGGUUUGCAGUAAGCAUUGGCUACUGGCAAGACCCUCACAUCCAGCAUUUUGCAAGACUGUCUAAGGAGAGAAGGCUCCCGAAAUUAACAGAGGCA